Molecule: transfer RNA, 65 nt
Filed under: Dipodomys ordii (Ord's kangaroo rat)
Lineage: Eukaryota; Metazoa; Chordata; Mammalia; Rodentia; Heteromyidae
Rfam family: tRNA
About the family: Transfer RNA (tRNA) molecules are approximately 80 nucleotides in length. Their secondary structure includes four short double-helical elements and three loops (D, anti-codon, and T loops). Further hydrogen bonds mediate the characteristic L-shaped molecular structure. tRNAs have two regions of fundamental functional importance: the anti-codon, which is responsible for specific mRNA codon recognition, and the 3' end, to which the tRNAs corresponding amino acid is attached (by aminoacyl-tRNA synthetases). tRNAs cope with the degeneracy of the genetic code in two manners: having more than one tRNA (with a specific anti-codon) for a particular amino acid; and 'wobble' base-pairing, i.e. permitting non-standard base-pairing at the 3rd anti-codon position.
Source: Rfam by way of RNAcentral
GGUGGCUCAGUGGUAGAGUGCUUGCAUUGCACGCAUGAGGCUCUGGGUUCAAUUCCUCAGCACCA